RNAcentral lists this ribosomal RNA (422 nucleotides) under Salmonella enterica. RNAcentral's name for it is "bacterial SSU rRNA". It matches the Rfam family "Bacterial small subunit ribosomal RNA", at positions 1 to 419 of the family's 1533-position model. The record is from RNAcentral. RNAcentral also lists the same sequence under 5 other names. Lineage: Bacteria; Pseudomonadati; Pseudomonadota; Gammaproteobacteria; Enterobacterales; Enterobacteriaceae.
AAAUUGAAGAGUUUGAUCAUGGCUCAGAUUGAACGCUGGCGGCAGGCCUAACACAUGCAAGUCGAACGGUAACAGGAAGCAGCUUGCUGCUUUGCUGACGAGUGGCGGACGGGUGAGUAAUGUCUGGGAAACUGCCUGAUGGAGGGGGAUAACUACUGGAAACGGUGGCUAAUACCGCAUAACGUCGCAAGACCAAAGAGGGGGACCUUCGGGCCUCUUGCCAUCAGAUGUGCCCAGAUGGGAUUAGCUUGUUGGUGAGGUAACGGCUCACCAAGGCGACGAUCCCUAGCUGGUCUGAGAGGAUGACCAGCCACACUGGAACUGAGACACGGUCCAGACUCCUACGGGAGGCAGCAGUGGGGAAUAUUGCACAAUGGGCGCAAGCCUGAUGCAGCCAUGCCGCGUGUAUGAAGAAGGCCUUC